This 632-nucleotide long non-coding RNA is filed under the name Homo sapiens (human). RNAcentral's name for it is "HSALNT0121372". Lineage: Eukaryota; Metazoa; Chordata; Mammalia; Primates; Hominidae. The record is from RNAcentral.
UUGUUCAAAAGAUGCAAAUGAUGUCAUCACAAUGGAUCCCAAAGACAAUUGGUCAAAAGAUGCAAAUGAUACACUACUGCUGCAGCUCACAAACACCUCUGCAUAUUACACGUACCUCCUCCUGCUCCUCAAGAGUGUGGUCUAUUUUGCCAUCAUCACCUGCUGUCUGCUUAGAAGAACGGCUUUCUGCUGCAAUGGAGAGAAAUCAUAACAGACGGUGGCACAAGGAGGCCAUCUUUUCCUCAUCGGUUAUUGUCCCUAGAAGCGUCUUCUGAGGAUCUAGUUGGGCUUUCUUUCUGGGUUUGGGCCAUUUCAGUUCUCAUGUGUGUACUAUUCUAUCAUUAUUGUAUAAUGGUUUUCAAACCAGUGGGCACACAGAGAACCUCACUCUGUAAUAACAAUGAGGAAUAGCCAUGGCGAUCUCCAGCACCAAUCUCUCCAUGUUUUCCACAGCUCCUCCAGCCAACCCAAAUAGCGCCUGCUAUAGUGUAGACAGCCUGCGGCUUCUAGCCUUGUCCCUCUCUUAGUGUUCUUUAAUCAGAUAACUGCCUGGAAGCCUUUCAUUUUACACGCCCUGAAGCAGUCUUCUUUGCUAGUUGAAUUAUGUGGUGUGUUUUUCCGUAAUAAGCAAA